GGCUUAGAGUUUGAUCAUGGCUCAGGAUGAACGCUGGCGGCGUGCUUAACACAUGCAAGUCGAGCGAAGCACUCUGUAUGAAGUUUUCGGAUGGAUUACAGUUUGACUGAGCGGUGGACGGGUGAGUAACGCGUGGGCAACCUGCCUUACACAGGGGGAUAACAGUUAGAAAUGACUGCUAAUACCGCAUAACCCGCUAGGGCCGCAUGGCCCGGACGGAAAAGAUUUAUCGGUGUAAGAUGGACCCGCGUCUGAUUAGCUAGUUGGUGAGGUAAAGGCCCACCAAGGCGACGAUCAGUAGCCGACCUGAGAGGGUGAUCGGCCACAUUGGGACUGAGACACGGCCCAAUCUCCUACGGGAGGCAGCAGUGGGGAAUAUUGCACAAUGGGGGAAACCCUGAUGCAGCAACGCCGCGUGAGUGAAGAAGUAUUUCGGUAUGUAAAGCUCUAUCAGCAGGGAAGAAAAUGACAGUACCUGACUAAGAAGCCCCGGCUAACUACGUGCCAGCAGCCGCGGUAAUACGUAGGGGGCAAGCGUUAUCCGGAUUUACUGGGUGUAAAGGGAGCGUAGACGGUGGGAUAAGUCAGAAGUGAAAGCCCGGGGCUCAACCCCGGGACUGCUUUGGAAACUGUUUAUCUAGAGUGCUGGAGAGGUAAGUG
RNAcentral lists this ribosomal RNA (660 nucleotides) under uncultured organism. RNAcentral's name for it is "bacterial SSU rRNA". It matches the Rfam family "Bacterial small subunit ribosomal RNA", at positions 1 to 663 of the family's 1533-position model. The record is from RNAcentral.